AUUGAACGCUGGCGGCAUGCCUUACACAUGCAAGUCGAGCGGCAGCGCGGGGGCAACCCUGGCGGCGAGCGGCGAACGGGUGAGUAAUACAUCGGAACGUGUCCAGUAGCGGGGGAUAACCUGUCGGAAGAUAGGCUAAUACCGCAUACGACCUACGGGUGAAAGCGGGGGACUCUCGGGCAACUGAGGGCCUCGCACUAUUGGAGCGGCCGAUGUCGGAUUAGCUAGUUGGCGGGGUAACGGCCCACCAAGGCGACGAUCCGUAGCUGGUCUGAGAGGACGACCAGCCACACUGGAACUGAGACACGGUCCAGACUCCUACGGGAGGCAGCAGUGGGGAAUUUUGGACAAUGGGCGCAAGCCUGAUCCAGCCAUGCCGCGUGAGUGAAGAAGGCCUUCGGGUUGUAAAGCUCUUUCGGCGGGGACGAAACGGUCCGUGACAACACCACGGACUAAUGACGGUACUCGCAGAAGAAGCACCGGCUAACUACGUGCCAGCCGCCGCGGUAA
This 510-nucleotide ribosomal RNA is filed under the name uncultured bacterium. Its description in RNAcentral is "partial 16S ribosomal RNA". It matches the Rfam family "Bacterial small subunit ribosomal RNA", at positions 29 to 523 of the family's 1533-position model. The record is from RNAcentral.